GAGACAGCAGUAGCCGCGGUAAUACGAAGGGUGCAAGCGUUAAUCGGAAUUACUGGGCGUAAAGCGUGCGUAGGCGGUUUGUUAAGUCUGCUGUGAAAUCCCCGGGCUCAACCUGGGAAUGGCAGUGGAUACUGGCAAGCUAGAGUGUGUCAGAGGAUGGUGGAAUUCCUGGUGUAGCGGUGAAAUGCGUAGAGAUCGGGAGGAACAUCAGUGGCGAAGGCGGCCAUCUGGGACAACACUGACGCUGAGGAGCGAAAGCGUGGGGAGCGAACAGGAUUAGAUACCCCUGUAGUCCCUGUCUCUUAUAC
RNAcentral lists this ribosomal RNA (308 nucleotides) under uncultured bacterium. Its description in RNAcentral is "partial 16S ribosomal RNA". It matches the Rfam family "Bacterial small subunit ribosomal RNA", at positions 505 to 807 of the family's 1533-position model. The record is from RNAcentral.